This 466-nucleotide ribosomal RNA is filed under the name uncultured bacterium. RNAcentral's name for it is "partial 16S ribosomal RNA". It matches the Rfam family "Bacterial small subunit ribosomal RNA", at positions 28 to 507 of the family's 1533-position model. The record is from RNAcentral.
GACGAACGCUGGCGGCGUGCUUAACACAUGCAAGUCGAACGGAAAGGCCCUGCUUGCAGGGUACUCGAGUGGCGAACGGGUGAGUAACACGUGGGUGAUCUGCCCUGCACUUCGGGAUAAGCUUGGGAAACUGGGUCUAAUACCGGAUAGGAGCCAUCUUUAGUGUGGUGGUUGGACAGUUUUUUCGGUGUAGGAUGAGCUCGCGGCCUAUCAGCUUGUUGGUGGGGUAAUGGCCUACCAAGGCGGCGACGGGUAGACGGCCUGAGAGGGUGUACGGCCACAUUGGGACUGAGAUACGGCCCAGACUCCUACGGGAGGCAGCAGUGGGGAAUAUUGCACAAUGGGCGCAAGCCUGAUGCAGCGACGCCGCGUGGGGGAUGAAGGCCUUCGGGUUGUAAACUCCUUUCGCUAGGGACGAAGCUUUGUUGUGACGGUACCUAGAGAAGAAGCACCGGCUAACUACGUG